Molecule: long non-coding RNA, 3376 nt
Organism: Bombus impatiens (common eastern bumble bee)
Lineage: Eukaryota; Metazoa; Arthropoda; Insecta; Hymenoptera; Apidae
Exons: 2
Source: RefSeq, a predicted model, not a curated record
UUCUCCGGUUUCUCGGUCCAAAAACGCUCUUUGCUGUCAACGAAAAGUCGCUGUCUCGUUUCACAGUGAGUUCCUAACGUACGCGGCGCGAAGCGAACGGUGAACAGGUCCUGCAACGAUUCGCACGAUGCGCGCCGUCGAAUGUCUCUACGGUACGGACCAAUCGCGCGAACCGAUAGACGGCCUAAUAAAGUAUCAACGAGCCCCGCGGCUUGCCCCUCGUUUCGUUCCUCCGUGCGAAAGUUUUCGAGCAACGAUCGGUCGUACGAAACCGAAACGAAGAUUCCACAGGUCUAACGAUACGUUUUAAGAUAGCCAUUUACAGGAGGGAGAGAAAUCGAGCAGGGUAACGCGUCCUCGCUGCGAGUCUGGCGCCGCGUUUUACGUCUCCCCCCGUGCAGCGAAUAUUUUCUAGCUAUUAUCGACGAAGCUCGAUCGAUGUACAAACGCAGGGCGCGUGUUACGCGCGGCUCGCGCGACGCAUGUAGAUAUACGAAUACGAAAAGCGUUGCCAUUCCGCUCCGCUUUUGCGAAACGAUCGAACGAGCGACGGGUAAUCGCGCUAUAGACUGAAAGCGAAAUUGCCGGAAAUUGCUCUAGAUGUUAAAUAACGCGACGACGAAGCUCGAAGAAAGGAGGAUUCUUGCCUUCGCGUUACCUAUAUCAUAAGUAUAUCGUUUAUACGCGAUUUGUAUAGGUACCUGUCGAUCAAAGGGAAGAGGGAACGAGUAACGAAGCAGGAACAUGUGCCAAUAACGCGAAAACAGCGAGAGCCAGAGAGAGAGAGUGAAAGUGUGUGUGUGUGUGGAGAGAGAGAGAGUGCGUGAACGAGGGAAAAUGUUUUGCGCGAAAGGGGAAAGAAAUGGCGCACGCUCGUCGAUUAAUCGCGUAAUCGUCGAUUGCGAGGAAAAAUGGUCCCUAUAUUAUUAAAUAUAUUAUUAAAAGAGAAAUAGAUUAUACGGUGCGUAAUGCGGGACAGAUUCGUUGGGAACGAUCGUGAAAGCGUGCAACGAGUAGCCGAAAGGAAAGAAACCGCGAGACGCGUCCCUCGACACCGUGAACAUAUCAAGCAGUUUAAAAGAAAGAUUUAAAGAAGGACGAUGAAAGCGCGAGAAGGAGCGUGGCGGGUAAAUUUUUCGAAGCAACGACGAGCGAAAGAUGUUCGGCGCGAGGUCGAUGCGGAAAAGUUUUCGCGACGACGCCGACGCGAAAACGGACACGCGGAUUUACCUUUGUACGAGCGGUUUCGAAUUGUUUCGCAUCGCAGACGCAACGUCCGUGCCGCAGCGUGCGCGCGUAGCGACAACAUCCGAUGAAUAAUAGCGACGAUGGAUGGUGGUCUGUAUCUUGUUGGAUGCACGUUCGCUGAUCGUAAAGACUGCUUGCCUGGCAGACGCCCGUUGAAACCGGCGAACGCUCGCGCGACCAAGUCGGCCGAGCCACGGGAAAUUUGUAUUCUUAAUUUAACGAAUUACGCUAGAGAUAUAUAGUUGGGAAAAGGGAGCCGAUGGACGCCACGAUGGACGAAAUUGCUGGCGCGCGAAAGAACGCGGAAUAACUGGAUUCGUUGGUUCGGCUGGAUCCAUCGGUGCGCGUCGCGCCUCUCCGUUAGGAGAUCGUUACGCGAGGUGGUUCCGUUUGCACUGGAAAAAUGCGAAGGGAGAUGCUGGAGGGUCCGGUUCGGUCCGCGUCGUUUCGCGUUGAAGGGCGAAAGGUCGCGUGGCGAACGCGCACCCUCCAUUUAGGAGAGAAAGAGAACGAGAAGCUACUGAGAAUGGCGACGAUUAAGAAGCAAUAAGCGAAUACACGCAAAUGCAGAUUUUUAUAUAGAGAAUGUUAACAAAUUUCAGAAAAUAUUAAUUAUCGAUAGCGCUAUCUUCCUAAAUGUUCGUAUUAAAAGUUAAACGAGAAGCAAAAGGUAAAGCGUGAGACUUUAAGGACAAAGUCGGGUGGAGUCCCAACCGAAUCGCGCGAUAUCGCCACAGAGACGGAGGAGAAACGAUACGAGAAACGACGAUACGACGUCGCAGCGUGGCGUUCGGACGAAUUUUUAGAAAUACGAAAAACGGAUCGAACGAGAGGGAAAUUUCGGCCGGGACUCCGCCAGAGGAGAAAAAAAAGAGAGAAAGAAGAUUUUAAAAACUUUCAGCUGUAACUAUUUGUGUCUAGCGACGAACCUGCGAGUGCGACCUGAAGUUUUGAGAAUGUCGAUAGUUUCAGUGAAUUAAUAUUUAGAUUUCAUAGAUCUCUGUCGAUAUUACACGAUCGUAGGCACGAAACGAGCAGAAGAUAAUUAGUUAGAGCGUAAAAGAUAUCUUAUUAGAGACCUUUUCCAUUUCACUUGAGUCUUUCGCGUUCGAACCUGCCUACAGCCUGUCUCUGUUUCUCGAGUCUUUUCGAUCGCAUUUCCUCCUCCUCUUCUUCUUCUUCUUCUUCUUCUUCUUCUUCUUCUUCUAUUUCUACUUCUACUUCUACUUCUCCGAGAACCACGUCAUUUGCGUACUUUGAUUCCCUGUAUUUUCCACUCUCCGAUUCUAAUACGCAGGGCGCUUCUUAUUUUGUAAGAGACGAGAAUUCAAGGUGCGAAAACGUCGAGAGAAGGAAAAGCGAUAGGAAAAAUAAUUGCGUAAUCCGAAUCAAAAUUUACUUCGAUUCACGCGAACGACGCUUCAAUUGCGUUUCCUCUCCUAUCGUUUUCCUUUAUAUUCGCCUUCUUUCCUUUAUUUUUAGUUACGAUUGUAUCGAUACUUUUUCUUUUUUUUUUUUUUUUUCUUUUUCUUUUAAGUAAUCGUUACUCUUUCUAACGAGGAAACGCAGCGACGAGCAAACGAAUGAGAAAUCGUUGAACACAUCCUCCUCGGACGCUCCUUUACUUAAAUACUUUUACUCGAUUAACGCUUCUGUACUACUAUUUAUUAAAAACAAAGAAAGCCUUAUUUAUUGUUUAGAGAUCAGACUAAAUUAAAAAAAAAAAAAAAAAGAAAGGACGUUCUAACCGUGGUAGGUUAUCUAUUUACCUUACUAGAAUCGUACGAAAGGGGACGGAAGAAAGAUAAGAGAAGAAAAAAAGAUCAUUAUUUCCUUACUUCGCUGUUUUCGAAAAACUCUGACCGCCGUAUAAAAAGAGACGAAAGGAUAAAAGAAAAAAAAAAGCGAGAUACAGCAUCAUGGAUACGAUCGUCGAGUCUCUAAGCAGUUAUGUUAUCGAUUAGUUAAGCGUUUUUUAAGCGAUCUACGUGCACAUUGUUCGAUUCUCUUUUCGAUUCGUUUCCCAACUUUUUUUUCUUUUUUCUUUUGCCUUUUUAACAGUCUGUUUAACAGCGAACUUUGUCAAAGUACCUGCUUCGGAAACGAAAAGCAAACAAAAAAAAAAAAA